GACGAACGCUGGCGGCGUGCCUAAUACAUGCAAGUGGAACGCAUUGAUAUCACCGGAGCUUGCUCCACCGAUAUAAAUGAGUCGCGAACGGGUGAGUAACGCGUAGGUAACCUGCCUGAUAGCGGGGGAUAACUAUUGGAAACGAUAGCUAAUACCGCAUGAGAGUGUUUAACACAUGUUAGAGACUUAAAAGAUACAAUUGUAUCACUAUCAGAUGGACCUGCGUUGUAUUAGCUAGUUGGUAGGGUAGCGGCCUACCAAGGCAACGAUACAUAGCCGACCUGAGAGGGUGAUCGGCCACACUGGGACUGAGACACGGCCCAGACUCCUACGGGAGGCAGCAGUAGGGAAUCUUCGGCAAUGGACGAAAGUCUGACCGAGCAACGCCGCGUGAGUGAAGAAGGUUUUCGGAUCGUAAAGCUCUGUUGUAGCGGAA
This 436-nucleotide ribosomal RNA is filed under the name Streptococcus downei. Its description in RNAcentral is "bacterial SSU rRNA". It matches the Rfam family "Bacterial small subunit ribosomal RNA", at positions 28 to 446 of the family's 1533-position model. The record is from RNAcentral. Lineage: Bacteria; Bacillati; Bacillota; Bacilli; Lactobacillales; Streptococcaceae.